This 72-nucleotide transfer RNA is filed under the name Candidatus Melainabacteria bacterium. Its description in RNAcentral is "tRNA-Gly". It matches the Rfam family "tRNA". Rfam says of the family: Transfer RNA (tRNA) molecules are approximately 80 nucleotides in length. Their secondary structure includes four short double-helical elements and three loops (D, anti-codon, and T loops). Further hydrogen bonds mediate the characteristic L-shaped molecular structure. tRNAs have two regions of fundamental functional importance: the anti-codon, which is responsible for specific mRNA codon recognition, and the 3' end, to which the tRNAs corresponding amino acid is attached (by aminoacyl-tRNA synthetases). tRNAs cope with the degeneracy of the genetic code in two manners: having more than one tRNA (with a specific anti-codon) for a particular amino acid; and 'wobble' base-pairing, i.e. permitting non-standard base-pairing at the 3rd anti-codon position. The record is from RNAcentral. Lineage: Bacteria; Bacillati; Candidatus Melainabacteria.
GCGGGUGUAAUUCAGUGGUAGAAUGCAAGCUUCCCAAGCUUGACGUCGCGGGUUCGAACCCCGUCGCCCGCU